AGUGAACGCUGGCGGUAGGCCUAACACAUGCAAGUCGAACGGCAGCACAGUAAGAGCUUGCUCUUACGGGUGGCGAGUGGCGGACGGGUGAGGAAUACAUCGGAAUCUACUUUUUCGUGGGGGAUAACGUAGGGAAACUUACGCUAAUACCGCAUACGACCUACGGGUGAAAGCAGGGGAUCUUCGGACCUUGCGCGAUUGAAUGAGCCGAUGUCGGAUUAGCUAGUUGGCGGGGUAAAGGCCCACCAAGGCGACGAUCCGUAGCUGGUCUGAGAGGAUGAUCAGCCACACUGGAACUGAGACACGGUCCAGACUCCUACGGGAGGCAGCAGUGGGGAAUAUUGGACAAUGGGCGCAAGCCUGAUCCAGCUAUACCGCGUGGGUGAAGAAGGCCUUCGGGUUGUAAAGCCCUUUUGUUGGGAAAGAAAAGCAGCAGGUUAAUACCCCGCUGUUCUGACGGUACCCAAAGAAUAAGCACCGGCUAACUUCGU
Molecule: ribosomal RNA, 491 nt
Filed under: uncultured bacterium
Lineage: Bacteria
Description: partial 16S ribosomal RNA
Rfam family: Bacterial small subunit ribosomal RNA
Source: RNAcentral